UGACGGGGACCCGCACAAGCGGUGGAUGAUGUGGUUUAAUUCGAUGCAACGCGAAAAACCUUACCCACCUUUGACAUGUACGGAAGUUGCCAGAGAUGGCUUCGUGCUCGAAAGAGAACCGUAACACAGGUGCUGCAUGGCUGUCGUCAGCUCGUGUCGUGAGAUGUUGGGUUAAGUCCCGCAACGAGCGCAACCCUUGUCAUUAGUUGCUACGAAAGGGCACUCUAAUGAGACUGCCGGUGACAAACCGGAGGAAGGUGGGGAUGACGUCAAGUCCUCAUGGCCCUUAUAGGUGGGGCUACACACGUCAUACAAUGGCCGGUACAAAGGGUUGCCAACCCGCGAGGGGGAGCUAAUCCCACAAAGCCGGUCGUAGUCCGGAUCGCAGUCUGCAACUCGACUGCGUGAAGUCGGAAUCGCUAGUAAUCGUGGAUCAGCAUGUCACGGUGAAUACGUUCCCGGGUCUUGUACACACCGCCCGUCACACCAUGGGAGCGGGUUCUGCCAGAAGUAGUUAGCCUAACCGCAAGGAGGGCGAUUACCACGGCAGGGUUCGUGACUGGGGUGAAGUCGUAACAAGGUAACC
Molecule: ribosomal RNA, 586 nt
Filed under: uncultured bacterium
Lineage: Bacteria
Description: bacterial SSU rRNA
Rfam family: Bacterial small subunit ribosomal RNA
Source: RNAcentral